RNAcentral lists this ribosomal RNA (253 nucleotides) under uncultured bacterium. RNAcentral describes it as "partial 16S ribosomal RNA". It matches the Rfam family "Bacterial small subunit ribosomal RNA", at positions 524 to 776 of the family's 1533-position model. The record is from RNAcentral.
UACGAAGGGAGCUAGCGUUGUUCGGAAUCACUGGGCGUAAAGCGCACGUAGGUGGGCAGUUAAGUCAGGGGUGAAAGCCCGAGGCUCAACCUCGGAAUUGCCUCUGAUACUGGCUGUCUAGAGUCCGAGAGAGGUGGGUGGAAUUCCUAGUGUAGAGGUGAAAUUCGUAGAUAUUAGGAAGAACACCGGUGGCGAAGGCGGCCCACUGGCUCGGUACUGACACUGAGGUGCGAAAGCGUGGGGAGCAAACAGG